AGCAAGAAGUAGGAACUUGAAGAGGGACCACCUGUAUCCAAUCAGGAAUUUGCACAGGUGCUGCAUGGCUGUCGUCAGCUCGUGCCGUGAGGUGUUAGGUUAAGUCCUGCAACGAGCGCAACCCUCGUCGCUAGUUAAUUUCUCUGGCGAUACUGCCCGUAAAACGUGGAGGAAGGUGGGGAUGACGUCAAGUCAGCAUGGCCUUUAUGUCUUGGGCUACACACACGCUACAAUGGAUGGUACAAAGGGUUGCCAAAGAGCGAUCUGGAGCUAAUCCCAAAAAACCAUCCUCAGUUCAGAUUGUAGGCUGCAACUCGCCUGCAUGAAGUUGGAGUUGCUAGUAACCGCGCGUCAGCUAUAGUGCGGUGAAUACGUUCCCGGGGCUU
RNAcentral lists this ribosomal RNA (386 nucleotides) under uncultured Chloroflexota bacterium. Its description in RNAcentral is "bacterial SSU rRNA". It matches the Rfam family "Bacterial small subunit ribosomal RNA", at positions 983 to 1382 of the family's 1533-position model. Lineage: Bacteria; Bacillati; Chloroflexota. The record is from RNAcentral.